GGUAUGUGAAAACAAUAUAUAGUUAAAAGUUUAAUGAGGGAUUAAGAGAGUUUAACGUUUCUCAUUAUUUUUUUGCUUUCAUCUUACUUUACUAAAGAGCUGAUCUUGGUUAUGAGAGAGGUACUUGGAAUUUUGUGCGGUAUGUGGCUGCAGCUUAAGGAGAAAUAAAGAUGAUUAUUUGCCCUUGCAUUGACUGUUGCAACGUGGUACCGGUAAUGGAGUGAAGUCAAUUGCUUAUUCUGAAUUGAUGGAUGAAGUAUGUUUAUUGCUUUUAAGUUUAGCCGGCUAUGUUUGAGAACUUGAUCUGUUUAAGACAUGACUUUGUGUUUUGUUUAUGACUUGGUUUGAUGGUUACAUGUUCUCUUUUAGAGUUCAUGAUUUUAAUCAGUUCACUUUGUAUGCUUUGGAUUUUUAAUGGAAAAGCAUUGAUAUUUUAUGAAUUUUUGUUUCUUGUCAAAGUAUCACAA
Long non-coding RNA from Arabidopsis lyrata subsp. lyrata, 467 nucleotides. RefSeq lists it as uncharacterized. NCBI's taxonomy places the organism in Eukaryota, Viridiplantae, Streptophyta, Magnoliopsida, Brassicales, Brassicaceae. The transcript has 2 exons. The record is from RefSeq and is a predicted model, not a curated record.